UACGUAGGGGGCAAGCGUUGUCCGGAAUCAUUGGGCGUAAAGAGCGUGUAGGCGGCUCGAUAAGUCUGCUGUGAAAGUCCAGGGCUCAACCCUGGAAGGCCGGUGGAAACUGUCGGGCUAGAGUCCGGAAGAGGCGAGUGGAAUUCCCGGAGUAGCGGUGAAAUGCGCAGAUAUCGGGAGGAACACCAAUGGCGAAGGCAGCUCGCUGGGACGGUACUGACGCUGAGACGCGAAAGCGUGGGGAGCAAACAGG
This 253-nucleotide ribosomal RNA is filed under the name uncultured bacterium. RNAcentral describes it as "partial 16S ribosomal RNA". It matches the Rfam family "Bacterial small subunit ribosomal RNA", at positions 524 to 776 of the family's 1533-position model. The record is from RNAcentral.